Molecule: ribosomal RNA, 160 nt
Filed under: uncultured bacterium
Lineage: Bacteria
Description: partial 16S ribosomal RNA
Source: RNAcentral
CACGGAGUUAGCCGGUGCUUCUUCUGCGGGUAACGUCAAUUGCUGUGGUUAUUAACCACAACACCUUCCUCCCCACUGAAAGUACUUUACAACCCGAAGGCCUUCUUCAUACACGCGGCAUGGCUGCAUCAGGCUUGCGCCCAUUGUGCAAUAUUCCCCA